Molecule: long non-coding RNA, 632 nt
Organism: Hordeum vulgare subsp. vulgare (domesticated barley)
Lineage: Eukaryota; Viridiplantae; Streptophyta; Magnoliopsida; Poales; Poaceae
Exons: 2
Source: RefSeq, a predicted model, not a curated record
UCUCUGUGCCGCCGCUGGAGCUCCUCUCGUAGCUCCUCCGGUGACCAAAACAACGGCGCCGCCACCCAAGUAUUGCCCAUGCUCGGGCACGUGGAGACUCGCCCACGCUGCACACUCGCCGGUGGUGCUCGUGCUCGUGCUGUGCUGCUGUUCUUCGUGAUGCUGCUGAUCAUGUCUCAAGAAGAAGGUAAAAUUUGUUGAAAAGGAAGAAGCUCAUUCAUUAUUUCACCAAAUGAAAGCUGGGGAAGGAACGAAGCGGAGAUUGUACUCAUUAGAGUAGUUUCUGUUGAAGAUCUCCAACAUCAUCCUCUUGAUCUUCGCCAUUCCAUCAUCCAUGUCUCUUUGUCUUGGGUUUUGUCUGCAAUAUUGCCCAACUAGAAAGAUAAUGGCAGAAACUGAAUAAAACAGCAACAAGACCAUUAGGUAUCUUCUUGUCAAAACAUGUAGAGUUCCUGGCUUUCCGGAUGGUCCAACAUAAUGGUGUCCCACCAACCAAGACCAUUUUUCUGUGAUCUUGUGGAAAGAGGUUUAGCGAGGGGCCAACUAAAUCAUCAAUGUCUUCAGGGGGACUGACUACACUGAAUCGUGUGUAGCAAACAAUAUAAGCAUCAAGUCUUGAGAUGUUGACAAAA